UGGAAAUUCCAAAAGUUUGAAAGGCCGCCAUUUUAUCCUCUACCUUAUUUCCAUUGUUCUUCUCUCUCACUGAUCAAUAGCCAAAAAAACCCUAAUAUCAUCACCACUCCUCGCCAACAACCGUCGGCCUUGUCCUCGGGCGACCAAUGGAAGAUGUUCGUGCAACCUACACAAUCAGUAAAGCGCUAGGCCACGACCAAUUUGGCGUGACGUAUCUUGUCACUCACAAAACCACGCACCAACAGUUCGCUUACAAGUCAAUCGCGAUGUGGAAGCUGAUUAACAAGGAUGACAUCGACGAUGUCCGUCGACAGGUCCAGAUCAUGCAUCACCUCACCGGACACCGUAACAUUGUCGAGCUCCAUGGCACCUACGAGCAUCGGCACUCUGUUAACCUAAUCAUGGAGUUGUGCGCCGGCGGGGAGCUAUCAAAAAUAAAUAUCACCCUUUUCAAUGAUCAAUAAAGUUAUUCCUGUUUCUCUCUCACUUCCGUUUCCUUCCCACUUCUCCAGUUUCUGUUCUUCAUCGUUAACCCAAAGACAGGGUAGGGACAAGAAUUUCCAAACAAAACCCACAUGCUCUUCCAUCUAAUCUGAUCUUUUUAUGGGUAUUUUAUUUUCCUUUUUCUUUUGAUUUUGGGAUAAUGGAUUUCGAUCACAUUGAAUGCGUUUCAACAUUGGAUGAAUGAAAUGAGGACGAGAUCCCAUACCAUCAUCAUCGUUAUCAACAUCAACAUCAACAUCGUCAAAACAGCCAUUAAAAUCCCCAGAUUUUAUCAUCAAAACUCACUAUGUUAAUGUCGUUCCUUCCAAAAUUAAUCCCACCCUCAGUGUUUACAAGCUUCUCGAAUGCCCUGUUUGUACCAAUUCAAUGUACCCUCCAAUACAUCAGGUUAGAAUUCGUGGAAAUCUUGAAGUUGGAAAUUAGAAUGAUUGACUUCAAAAUUUCGUCAGACUCUUUGUUCCACUUGUAAAACACUUGUGAACAACAAGUGUCCGACUUGCAGACAAGAACUCGGUGAUAUAGGAUGUCUAGCAUUGGAAAAAGCUACAGAAUCCCUCGAAUUGCCAUGCAAAUACAGCUCACUCAGUUGCCAUGGAAUCUUCCCUUACUACAAUUUUCAAUUGUUUUGGGCAGUAUUUUUUUCUCCAUUUUGAAGCAUUUCAGCUAAGUAUGGCUCUGGUUUAUAUGGCGUUUAUGAGGUUCAUGGGAGAUGAAAGUGAUGCCCGGAGUUACAGUUACAGUUUGGAGGUGGGAGGGAAUGGCCGAACAUAAAUAGACUUAAUAAUGGAAGCUACCAGUGUCAAGGGAAAAUAAGGCUCGAUGCGAUCGUUAAAAAUUCAUAGUAUAAAUGCUUACCUUGAUGACUCUCCUGGACUUCAACAUUCCCAGAUUAUAACAUUAAAAUCAAUAACAGUUCAACUUUCAACACUAAGGAAUGACACGCUUCACUCUUAUUUCAAUUUUUGGUGUCAUUGUGCCUUAUUUUUAUUUACUUUACUUUCUAUUGUAUGACAGGAAGGAUAGUUGGUCUCUUGGAAAAAGUGUAAGUUCUUUCUCUGCACUCCUGCAUGGGAAUGCUUCAGGGCUCUCAGGUCUAAUAUUUGUUGACGAAAUGUCUGUUUUUGUCGAGGUUACACUGAGUUCUUUAGUUGGAAGCAGUCUAUCCAACAAGGCCCCAAAGGUCAGAUUCCCUUAAGGAACAAUGGUACCCAUGCAUUCUUUCAACAAAUAUGUAUAGAGCUCCAAUAUAUCCACAUAAACUCUCAUCCACUGACUAUUUACUCAUUCGCUCUCCAAAGGAAAAGCUCUCAUUAAGACGCAUUGACCGGAUUUACGUUGUUGGUCAACAGGAGCCUCACAUGGAAGUGAUGUCCCCUAUAUCAAAAGGUGUUCAGAUGUAUAAUAUGAAUAGGCUUCUGGUGUCCAUGUAUCGUGAGUUUCGUGCUCUUCAAAAACGUGGCUUGACACCUGCUAUUCGUGCCAAUGAGUUAUCUGCACGGUUUGCAAAUGUAGCUGAAGUUUCUUUAAGAAAGAGGUUAAAGUUAUUGUGUGAUUUUCAGAGGGGUUCAUGGGUUAUGAAGCGAAAUUUUCGUAUUCCAUUAGAGGAUGAGCUUAGAAGAAUGGUGUGUGCUUUUGAAAGCCUGCUAGCUUGAAUGUAAAGACUGAAACUUCUAGGAAUCAGCAUGACUCAUCCAUGUGGUCUCUCCUCUACAAUGAAUUAGCUCUCUGCUGAAGUAAUAGCUUUCGCUGCUGCUUCCCACAUCGAGAGAGAAUUACAAAUAACUCCCUGGAAUUUAAGCAGCAACUUUGUUGCUUGAACAAAUCAGGAUAGAGGAAACAUUGAAACAUUGGAGAUUACAGGUGUUGGUGAUCCAUCUGGUAGAGGAUUAGGAUUUAGCUAUGUUCGAACUGCUCCCAAGGCUCUAGUUUCACAUGCCAUUGUAAAGAAAAAAGUUGCUAUAUAUAAAUCUUGUUUACAGUGAGGCACACAUUAGGUUAUUAAAAAUAUAAGUUUGUGAAUUUAUGUUACAA
Molecule: non-coding RNA, 2535 nt
Organism: Lactuca sativa (garden lettuce)
Lineage: Eukaryota; Viridiplantae; Streptophyta; Magnoliopsida; Asterales; Asteraceae
Source: RefSeq, a predicted model, not a curated record